CGCAGCUUCUUUUGGUCUUUUGACUUGAGUUUUAUCACCCUAUUCUUCAGGCGGGCUCCUGCCUUGCAAUUUCUUCAACUUGUUGCUUGGAUUUCAAUUGCUUCAACUUGUUGCUUGACUUUUCAUUUAUUGAUCCUGUGCUUCGGGCGGGCUCCUGACUUGCUUUUUUUGACUUUUGAUUUCUUUACCUUGUUGCUUGGCUUUCAACUUCCUCACCCUGUUCUUCAGGCGGGCUCCGGACUUUCAAUAUUCAUCACCCUGUUCUUCAGGCGGGCUCCUGACUUGCAAUUUUAUCACCCUGUUCUUCAGGCGGGCUCCUAAAAUCAAAAUCAAAACUAGAACGAAAAUAUCUCAAACAAAGAUUAUAAUAAAGAAAGAUUUCAUUUUUCUAAAACUAAUGUCCCAUUUUUCAGGAGGGUCCUAAACAGAAAGUAAAAUCCCAUUUUC
Molecule: long non-coding RNA, 447 nt
Filed under: Capsicum annuum
Lineage: Eukaryota; Viridiplantae; Streptophyta; Magnoliopsida; Solanales; Solanaceae
Description: long non-coding RNA (CANN_LNC018111)
Source: RNAcentral